GACGAACGCUGGCGGCGUGCUUAACACAUGCAAGUCGAACGGAAAGGCCCUGCUUGCAGGGUACUCGAGUGGCGAACGGGUGAGUAACACGUGGGUGAUCUGCCCUGCACUUCGGGAUAAGCCUGGGAAACUGGGUCUAAUACCGGAUAGGAGCCAUUUUUAGUGUGAUGGUUGGAAAGUUUUUUCGGUGUAGGAUGAGCUCGCGGCCUAUCAGCUUGUUGGUGGGGUAAUGGCCUACCAAGGCGGCGACGGGUAGCCGGCCUGAGAGGGUGGACGGCCACAUUGGGACUGAGGUACGGCCCAGACGCCUACGGGAGGCAGCAGUGGGGAAUAUUGCACAAUGGGCGCAAGCCUGAUGCAGCGACGCCGCGUGGGGGAUGACGGCCUUCGGGUUGUAAACUCCUUUCGCUAGGGACGAAGCUUUUUGUGACGGUACCUAGAUAAGAAGCACCGGCUAACUACGUG
RNAcentral lists this ribosomal RNA (465 nucleotides) under uncultured bacterium. Its description in RNAcentral is "partial 16S ribosomal RNA". It matches the Rfam family "Bacterial small subunit ribosomal RNA", at positions 28 to 507 of the family's 1533-position model. The record is from RNAcentral.